UCUGCUUCUGCUUCCUCAAAAGGCUGCAACCCCGCGCCUUCCGCCACCCCGUUCAGUGGCAAGCCGACACCACCACGUGCUCUAUCUCAGCGUGCCGCGCGCACCCUGCAAAAACACUCUCUGUCAAAACACUCUUCGCACGCUCGCGCUUCGUUCGUGCUGCUUUUUUUUGUCUGUCGUUCAUGAUCACCGCCGACGCUGUGCUGGGCGACUAAUUUCUUCAAGGAGCUGGAUGAGCGGAGGAGCGGCGUGCGGCGGCCACCUAGACACUUCGCCCGCACAAUGAUGAGCUGCUUCGCCCUCCUUAUUGCCUCCGCUAUGAUAACUCUAACUACCAGAGGUGUGAGCGGCAACGUGCUGGAGGGCCAGGGUCCAGUGAUCGUGCUGGAGCCGCCGGCGCGUCUCGAGUUCACGAACAGCACGGGCACGCGACUGGACUGCAGCGCGCAGGGCAGUCCGGCGGUCAGCGUCACGUGGACGGCGUCCGUGGGACUCAACAGUCCGUCGGGCGGCGGGGGCAACGCGCAGCCGGGCCCCGUGCCCAACGUGCCGGGCCUCAGGCACCAGCUGCUCAACGGCAGCCUGCUCUUCCUGCCGUUUCCCGCCUCCGCGUACCGGCCGGACGUGCACGCCUCCGCCUACAGGUGCGUCGCAACCAACUCUGUCGGACGCGUCCUCGGCAGGGAGGUCAGACUCAAAGCAGUGGUGCUGCAGCAGUACGAGCUGCGGGUGAAGGGCGCCGUGGUGUCUCGGGGCAACACGGCCGUGCUUCGGUGCCAAGUGCCGAGCGCGGUGCGCGACUACCUCACCGUGACUUCGUGGCUGCAAGACGACACCUUCAAUAUUUACCCGUCCAGCGACGGAGAUGGCAAAUUCCACAUGCUGCCGUCGGGAGAGCUGCUGGUGCUGAACGUGGACUCGUCCGACGUCUACUCGACCUACCACUGCCGCGCCACCCACCGCCUCUCAGACGAGACGCUCGUCAGCGUCCUACCCGGCAAGAUCACAGUCACAGAAGCUCCGAGAGGCGUUGUGCCGCCAAGGGCGUUUGAACGGACUGUCAACUUGGAAGUUAGAAGGGAUGAACUGGUCAUUCUACCCUGCAUUGUGGACAGCAACCCUCAACCAGAAUACAGGUGGUACCUUCUGAGCGACUCGACAGGUCAGAUGCAGCCGCUGCACGACUCGGAGCACCGAUACCGGGUGAACGGGCUGCUGGUGCUGCAGCGGGCGCGUCCGGCCGACUCGGGCCGUUACAUCUGCGUGGCGAACAACACGGGCGGCUCGGAGCGCGUCGAGUUCGGGCUGGUGGUGACGGCGCCGCUGGGCGCGCACGUGACGCCGUCGCACGCCACCGUCGACCUGGGACGCAACGCCGAGUUCUCCUGCGCCACCCUGGGCCACCCUGUGCGCUCGGUCGUCUGGGCGAAGGACGGAAACCUGCUCAGGGACGGCCACAGGGUGCGGUUCCUCAGCAGGGAGCGCCUCCAGGUGAUCAACGUGCAGCGUGAGGACCAGGGCAUGUACCAGUGCUUCGUCAAGAACGACCUCGACAUGGCGCAGGCCACCGCCGAACUCAGGCUUGGAGACACGCCUCCUCAGUUGAUGUACAAAUUCAUCCAGCAGACGAUCCAGCCGGGGCCGUCGGUGUCGCUGAAAUGCAUCGCCGCCGGAAACCCUACGCCCAGCAUAAAGUGGACCCUCGACGGAUUCCCGCUCCCCCAGAACGAGAGGUUCCUAAUUGGGCAGUACGCGCCGCACGGCGACGUGAUUAGCCACGUCAACAUCAGCGCGGUCAGCGUCGAGGACGGCGGCACUUACGAGUGCAUCGCGGUCAACAGGGUCGGCGACGCCAGGCACAGGGCCCAGCUCAACGUCUACGGUUUGCCGCACGUGCGCUCGAUGCCUGAAAUUUCGGCGGUGGCCGGCGAAACGCUGUACCUGUCCUGUCCCGUGGCCGGCUACCCGAUCGAAACCAUCAAGUGGUAUCGCGGCGACCGUCUGCUGCCCGUGAACAGCCGGCACGUGGUGUUCCCGAACGGCACCCUGGAGAUCAAGAAUCUGCAGGCGAACCAGGACGGCGGCGCGUACACGUGCAGCGCGGCCAACAGGCAGGGAAACGUGGCCAGCGGCAUGGCCCACAUCAACGUCAUGGUCCCCCCAAAACUAAACCCUUUCAGCUUCCGCGCCGACCUGCACCUGGGCGAAAGGGUGGGCCUGCAGUGCAUGGUGUCCAAGGGCGAUCCGCCGCUGGAGGUGAGCUGGCUGAAGGACGGGCGGCCGCUGGUUGGCUCGGACGAGCUGGUGAUCCGCCACUUGGACGAGUUCACGAGCAGCCUGGCGAUCGGCGCCCUGGCGCCGCGGCACAGCGGCAACUACACGUGCGUGGCGCGCAACCUGGUGGCCGCGGCGGCGCACUCGGCCGGCCUCUCCGUGAACGGUACUUGUCCGCGAGCGGCCACUCACGUGCCUGCCUUUGUUCUUGUCUUUGCAGUGCCCCCCGCGAUCACGCCGUUCACCUUUGGCGAGCUCUCGCAGGGCGAGCGGGUCAAGGUGACGUGUAGCGUGAAGCGCGGCGACAUGCCCCUCACCAUUUCCUGGAUCAAGGACCGCCGACCGAUUGUAGAGCAUGCCGACAAAAAUGUCGACGUUAGAGACACUGCCGACGAUUCGUACUCUAGCAUUUUGGCCAUUUCUAGUGUAAGCUCUAGGCAUAGCGGCAAUUAUACUUGUGUCGCGCGCAACCCGGCCAAGGAGACCACCUACACGGCAGAGUUGGUCGUGACCGUGCCGCCGAGCUGGGUCGUGGAGCCGCAAAACUACGACGCCAAACUCGGCCAAAAUGUGGUUCUCGACUGCCAGGUUGAGGGCUUCCCAAAGCCAACUGUCUCCUGGAAAAAAGCCCUAGGCUACAAGCCGGGCGAGUACAGCGACCUGCGCCCUGUCGAAGGGGCGUCGCACGGCCCCGUGCUUCCUGUUCAGGGAGGCUCGAUGCAGAUCCUGAUUAACGGCUCUCUGAUGAUCGAAAGCGUGAAGCAGGAGGACGAGGGACGCUACCUGUGCGAGGCCAACAAUGGCAUUGGCAUCGGCCUCAGCGCAGUUAUCUCCCUCACGGUCAAUGCUCCGGUGCAGUUCAAAAUCAGGUCGAAAAAGGAGCUGGUGCGCCGCGGCAGCACUGCCAAGCUGGUGUGCAAAGCUCUCGGCGAUAAUCCCAUCACCGUCAAAUGGCAAAAGGAGAACUCGCACUUGGACGUCCACUCCAUCAGCAUCAAGAACUCGAGUCUGUCACAGGAGAACGGACUGGUGUCAGAGCUGCUGAUAUACGACACGAAAAGGAGCGACAGCGGCGUGUACACGUGCUUUGCGAGCAACGACUUCGGCCACGACCAGAUGGCCAUCCAUCUUUUGGUGCAGGACGCGCCCGCCAAGCCGACCAAUUUGCGCAUGCUGGAGUACGACUCGAGGAAAGUGACUUUCGAGUGGAGCCAGGAGCAAGACGGCAACAGCCCCAUCACCAGAUACGUCGUCAGCUACAGAGCCCUCCACGGCGUGAGCUCGCAGGUGAACCAGCAGGUGGUGGACGGCAGCCAGUUGUCGACGACCAUCAGCAACCUGUUGCCGGACACGAGCUACUCGAUCCAGGUGGCCGCCGAGAACCAGCUAGGCGUGGGCGAGCCGAGCGACGAGCUGCAGGUGCGCACCACCGACGAGCCGCCCAGCCACAGUCCGCAGGACCUGCAGGUCGACGCCAAGAGCUCCACGCAGCUGCACGUCACCUGGAAUUCUCCCCCGGUCGAUACCUGGAACGGACAGCUCCUCGGCUACUACGUCGGACACAGGCAAAUGCUCAGCAAUGACAGAUCUGGAACAAAUCAGUACAACUUCACGACAGUGCCUUGGCCAGGCAACGGAAAGGCCGAGCUGAAGAUGGGCAACUUGAAAAAGUUCACCAAGUACUGCAUCGUCGUUCAAGCCUUCAACAUGAAAGGAGCAGGCCCCGUUUCCACUGAGGUCGUCGCCCAAACGCUCGAAGAUGUUCCUGAGGCGUCUCCACGCGAUUUGCACUGCAGCGCCAGUACCUCAGAGUCCAUUGACGUCAGCUGGCAGCCCCCACCGGAGGACAAAGUGCACGGAGUCAUCCAGGGAUAUAGACUUUACUACGAGGCUGUUGAGGAUUACUCAGUGGAUCUGUACCAAAUAGACAGUUCAGCGCAGAGCAAAAUGACCAAGUCACUGACCACAAUGCUGCACGGCCUGCUCAAAUACACCAACUACAGCAUCCAGGUUUUGUCCUUCACUCACGUUGGAGAAGGCGUAAGGAGCAGCAAAAUCUUCUGCAGGACCAAGGAAGAUGUUCCAGGGCCUCCAGCUGAGGUGAAGUUACUAGCAACGAGCCAGGACACGGCCCUGGUGACGUGGCAGCCGCCAAAGCAGCCAAACGGAGAAAUCCAGAAGUACUACAUCUACGUGCGUGUGAUGGACUCGAACGGGAGGAAAGUGGAGCCGAAAGUGGUGCCUGCCACGAACUUUGACUACGAAAUAAGGGACCUGAGGAAGAGGCAUCGAUAUGAGGUGUGGGUCGCCGCCCUGACCAAGGUUGGAGAAGGCCCUGGAACGCCUGUUUCGUCUUUCACACCAACCAACAAAGUGGCCGCGGCGGUGGCGUCUUUUGGCGGUAACAUCGUGGUGGCGAGUCGGAAGGACGUGCGUCUGCCGUGUCGGGCGGUGGGCCAGCCGGAGCCGCACAGGCAGUGGCUGGCCAACGGACGGCCGCUCAACCUGCAGCACUCGGCCUCGGAGCAACGCAGCACGCCGCUGCAGAUCUCGUCGGACGGCACCCUGCUGAUGGCCAGCGUGCUCCGCAGCGACGGCGGCGACUACACAUGCGUCGUCAGCAACGAGCACGGCAAAGACCUCAUCACCUACCGCCUCUCUGUCCAAGUUCCUCCCGCGACACCGCUGCUGCACUCGACGGGUUCGACGUCGGCCUCGAUCCAGCUGCAGUGGAAGGUGGGAGACGACGGCGGCUCCCCUGUGAAAGGGUUCGUGCUGCACUACAAGCCUGACGAGGGCGAGUGGAGCGAGCACCGCGUCGACCGGCAGCACAGCACGUUCACGCUGAGCGGACUGCGUUGCGGCACGCAGUACCACGUGUACCUGGUGGCGUACAACCGGCUCGGCAGCAGCCCCUCCAGCGUCGUGCUCAAGGAGCGCACGCGGGGCUCCAAGCCGCUGCCGCCGCCGCUCGGAUCGGCCGACGCCUUCCUCGUGCUCAACGCCACCAAGAUCGGACUGCGCCUCGACGCCUGGCCCGACGGUGGAUGCGCCAUCGUCUUCUUUGUCGUCGAGUACAUGCCUGUCAGCAGCGCCAGCGGAGAGUGGCUAGUUGCGAGCAACAACGUGCAGCCGCAACGCUUGUUUUUCAUCAGCGGACUGAACCCUGGCACCAAGUACAGGCUGCGGGUAAUAGCCCAUAAUGCGGCCGGAUCGACGACGGCCAACUUGAUUGCCACCACGACCGCGGCCAACGGCUUUCACGACUUAUCAGCCACCAUCAAGUCCAGCGACGCGGAACAUAAUCAGAACGACCCGGCGGUGCAGCGGCCGCCGCUGCACAAGGACGUCAAGGUGGUGGCCCCCCUCGCCGUCUCCACGGUCGCCGUCCUCCUCAGCCUCCUCAGCGUCUGCUUCUGCUUGAGGAAAAAAGGCGCAGCGAGCUCGGCGGCGACCCAGCAGAAUAACUCGAACUCGGCGUGCGAGAGCAAGAACAACUCUUCGCAGCGGGAGCAGUACUACGCGACGGUGCGGAAGCCGCCGCCGUCGCCGGCGCCCGAUUUCGCGACAUUAGAAUGCAUACCAGAGUACUCUGAGGACAUCUACCCUUACGCAACGUUCCACGUUCCACCGCCGCCGGCCCCGGCGCACGAGGAGGCGAUGAGCACCAAGCUGCAGACUUUCGUGUACCGCGGCAUCGGCGCCGAGCUGAUGCAGGGCGCCUCCUUCCGACACCUGCCGUCGCCGCCCAGGGCAAAACCGCAGACUGCUUUCGAGAUCGCACACAAUCUGAAGAUGCAGGGCAAGAGCGAGCGGCAAAAGCGGAGCCGGUGCAAACUGAAGACGGACCGGCGCGAGAGCGAGGAGUACGACAGCUUCAACUCCGAGUCGGACACCGAGCAGGGCACCUCGAGCCGCACCGAGUCGUCCAACCAGCUGGACGACAACUUGCAUCCCGCCCUGAACGCAGGUGGGAUGGCCGCUGGGGUCGAGUGCCGAUUUACUUUACCCAGGAGGACUCGAAUCAAGCACGUCCACAGAGCCGUCUCCCAUUGCUGAGCGACGACUCAAAUCCAUGGGCAUUAUCCCUAAAGUAAACAACAAAUCAUCUCGAAUGGGCAUGGUGCACGGCAUGCGGCAGUCGACGACCAGUUUCAUGACGCCGAAGGUUGACGCCGCGGGCAAAGUGCGGCCGAAACCGCUCAAGGCCGACGACGAGAGCGGCAAAGGCAAAUUCGGCGUCGGCUCGCCGAACAAACAGCGCGGCGGGCAACUCAGCGUCAUCUCGAGCAAGAACGCCGACUACAGCAUCCGCGUGUGAGAGGGACAGAAUUUUCGUGCUCAAAAAUA
RNA transcript from Cloeon dipterum, 6624 nucleotides. It is a transcript of the gene named cell adhesion molecule Dscam2-like, with no coding region annotated. NCBI's taxonomy places the organism in Eukaryota, Metazoa, Arthropoda, Insecta, Ephemeroptera, Baetidae. The transcript has 31 exons. The record is from RefSeq and is a predicted model, not a curated record.